CUCAUGGUUGCUGGUUGUAAGUCAUGUCUCAUAAAGGGAGAGAUCUCAUUUCUGAGACAUUUCAAAAUCCUUCACAUGCAGGCUACUGGAUGGGAAGCUGUGAGAAGCAUGGGUCUCUCAUUUCCUGCUGUGAGAGAAUGAAAAGAUUCCUAAAGCUCUGGCUGCACAGGAAAUUAUGUGCAACGAGGCUCCUCCUGCUUUGCUACUUGUUAUGGGCUGAAUGAAGGCUUCCUCAACAGAAACGGAAGUAAAAAUGACUACAGGAUGGCACAGCAACAAGAAAUAUCAGACGCCUUUAGAGCUUUCCUUACAAGAGGAAGAGUUCAUACAAGAGGAGCGGUAUCAUGUGAGGAAUCGAAUCUUCUAGAAGGAAUGAUUUUCUGGAACCUAAUAAUACCUUGAAAUGUUUGAGAACAGCAGUAUGACCAGUUUUGACGAGGACAUUCGAUGUGUGCACAUACGCGUUUUAUGCCCUCUCUAGUUUAUCUUGGCGUCCGAAUGUUGAGCCUGAUAAGGAAGAGCCAAGGUUUACCUUCCCUCUGGGAGGCACUGGUCCUGCCUAGCUAAGCCUGUGUUUCCAGACUUGCAGAUAUAAUCUGCACCUAAAUAAAGCCCUCAGGGCUUGGGUUUAACUCCGCGGCUGGCUACUAAUUGGCUCUGAUGGCCAAUGCUGCAAAACGAGAUGAAGAACCACUGUCAGUGCUUUGUCUUCAGCUUGUCUAGGGCUUCUUCGUUUCUGGUUUCUGGAGAUAAGGUUUUUAAAAAGAGCAACCAAGGCUGUGCAUGGCGGGACACAUCUUUAAUCUCAGGACUCAGAGGCAGAGGGACACCUGUGUGAGUUGGAGGCCAGCCUGGUCAACAUAGAGAGCUCCAGGUCAGCCAAGGUUACACAAACUCCAUCUCAGAAGGAGGAAAAAGAUAAUUAUUUAGGGUAAUCAUCUUUCUUAGUAUAUACUAAUAUGCCUGGUAGAUUUCCAGUAAUAUAUUUUAAAUCCUCUGUGUGUGUGUGUGUGUGUCCAUCAGAGGAAAACUAUUGGAGCUGAUUUGUUCUAGCCUCCUUUAUGUGAAUAGAAGGGCUAGAACUCAGGUUAUCAGGCUUGAAUGGCCAAUGUCUUUACCCACUAAGCCAUCUUGCCAGCCCCCUGGCUCAUGUCUUUAUAUGAAAAAGAGAUUAGGAUUUAGACACAUACAGAAGAAGGACGAUCUGCACAGAGAGAUCCCGGCUACAAGGCAAAGACAGAGGCCUCAGGAAACCAACCUUGAAGAUGUCUCAAUCUAACUUCUCAUCGUGAGGGAUGAGGAAAUCAACCUUGUCAAGGAAGAAGUGGGGUGG
Molecule: long non-coding RNA, 1333 nt
Filed under: Rattus norvegicus (Norway rat)
Lineage: Eukaryota; Metazoa; Chordata; Mammalia; Rodentia; Muridae
Description: long non-coding RNA NONRATT033401
Source: RNAcentral